Long non-coding RNA from Columba livia (rock pigeon), 444 nucleotides. RefSeq lists it as uncharacterized. The transcript is spliced from 2 exons. NCBI's taxonomy places the organism in Eukaryota, Metazoa, Chordata, Aves, Columbiformes, Columbidae. The record is from RefSeq and is a predicted model, not a curated record.
AGGAGUGAUGUUUGGACAGCAGGAGCACAGCUCUGUGCCACCGGCGCGAAGGGACGAGCGGUCCGGGGCUGCGGAGAAGAAGAGGAGGCGCAGGGAUGGCAGAGUUGGAAAGGGGGAGACUUCGCCCCGGUACCGUCCCCGAAGCUUGUGGAGCUCUUCAUGCUCCCUCUCCCUUGCUCUCGUCGGGGCUGGAUCGUUACCGCUUGUUCCCCACUCCGACCGGGCACAAAAGCGCUGCUUGGAGCUGCAGGCAGCUGAACCAGGGCGGAAAAUCUGGUCGGACGGACAGAAAAACAUCAUUUUCCAGUGGGCACAGACCGUCCCUGCCUCCACUUUGGAUCCGAUUGCUUGUUGAGCACGCUCAGAGAAAUGCAGCAGACUUCAGCUUUACCCCUCGAUCUGUAUAAAUGCAACGUCGGAUAAUAAAAAGAUUCUUCUUACGUA